ACGUCAUCCCCACCUUCCUCCGGUUUGUCACCGGCGGUCCCCUUAGAGUUCCCAACUUAAUGAUGGCAACUAAGGGUAAGGGUUGCGCUCGUUGCGGGACUUAACCCAACAUCUCACGACACGAGCUGACGACAGCCAUGCAGCACCUGUCUUAUCGUUCCCGAAGGCACUCCCACAUCUCUGCAGGAUUCGACAGAUGUCAAGGGUAGGUAAGGUUUUUCGCGUUGCGUCGAAUUAAUCCACAUCAUCCACCGCUUGUGCGGGUCCCCGUCAAUUCCUUUGAGUUUUAAUCUUGCGACCGUACUCCCCAGGCGGUCGACUUCACGCGUUAGCUGCGUUACCGAGAAAAUGAAUUCCCGACAACUAGUCGACAUCGUUUAGGGCGUGGACUACCAGGGUA
Molecule: unclassified non-coding RNA, 400 nt
Filed under: uncultured fungus
Lineage: Eukaryota; Fungi
Description: sequence contains ITS1
Source: RNAcentral